CCAGACUCCUACGGGAGGCAGCAGUGAGGAAUAUUGGUCAAUGGGCGAGAGCCUGAACCAGCCAAGUCGCGUGAAGGAUGACGGCCCUACGGGUUGUAAACUUCUUUUGUCAGGGAGCAAUUGAGUCCACGUGUGGGCUUAGCGAGAGUACCUGAAGAAAAAGCAUCGGCUAACUCCGUGCCAGCAGCCGCGGUAAUACGGAGGAUGCGAGCGUUAUCCGGAUUUAUUGGUUUUAAAGGGUGCGUAGGCGGUUUUUCAAGCAAGCGGAAAAAUUUCGGGGCCCAACCCGUCCCCGCCGUUGAAACUGGCGAACUCGAGAGGGAGAGAAGUAGGCGGAAUGCGCAGUGUAGCGGUGAAAUGCAUAGAUAUUGCGCAGAACUCCGAUUGCGAAGGCAGCCUACCGGCUCCUGUCUGACGCUGAGGCACGAAAGCGUGGGUAUCGAACAGGAUUAGAUACCCUAGUAA
Molecule: ribosomal RNA, 465 nt
Filed under: uncultured bacterium
Lineage: Bacteria
Description: bacterial SSU rRNA
Rfam family: Bacterial small subunit ribosomal RNA
Source: RNAcentral